CAGCCGCCACGGUAAAACGAAGGGGGCUAGCGUUGUUCGGAAUUACUGGGCGUAAAGGGCGCGUAGGCGGCCAUUCAAGUUAGAUGUGAAAGCCCAAGGCUCAACCUUGGAACUGCCUUUGAUACUGGGGAUCUCGAGUUCGGGAGAGGUGAGUGGAACUGCGAGUGUAGAGGUGAAAUUCGUAGAUAUUCGGAAGAACACCAGUGGCGAAGGCGGCCCGCUGGACAUGUAUUGACGCUGAGGUGCGAAAGCGUGGGGAGCAAACAGGAUUAGAUACCCCGGUAGUCCCUGUCUCUUAUAC
Molecule: ribosomal RNA, 301 nt
Filed under: uncultured bacterium
Lineage: Bacteria
Description: partial 16S ribosomal RNA
Rfam family: Bacterial small subunit ribosomal RNA
Source: RNAcentral